RNAcentral lists this ribosomal RNA (420 nucleotides) under uncultured bacterium. Its description in RNAcentral is "bacterial SSU rRNA". It matches the Rfam family "Bacterial small subunit ribosomal RNA", at positions 356 to 773 of the family's 1533-position model. The record is from RNAcentral.
AAGGAAUAUUGGACAAUGGGCGGAAGCCUGAUCCAGCCAUCCCGCGUGCAGGAUGAAGGCCCUAGUGGUUGUAAACUGCUUUUAUUUGGGAAGAAAUCUGUCUAUUUAUAGGCAGUUGACGGUACCAUAUGAAUAAGCACCGGCUAACUCCGUGCCAGCAGCCGCGGUAAUACGGAGGGUGCAAGCGUUAUCCGGAAUCACUGGGUUUAAAGGGUGCGUAGGCGGCCUGACAAGUCAGGGGUGAAAUGUCGUCGCUUAACGAUGAAAUUGCCUUUGAUACUGUUGGGCUUGAAACAGGUUGAGGUUGGCAGAAUGUGGCAUGUAGCGGUGAAAUGCAUAGAUAUGACAUAGAAUACCGAUUGCGUAGGCAGCUGGCUGGACCUGGAUUGACGCUGAGGCACGAAAGCGUGGGGAGCAAAC